CAGUAGCCGCGGGAAUACAGAGGGUGCAAGCGUUAAUCGGAAUUACUGGGCGUAAAGCGCGCGUAGGUGGUUCGCCAAGUUGGAUGUAAAAUCCCCGGGCUCAACCUGGGAACUGCAUCCAAAACUGGCGAGCUAGAGUAUGGUAGAGGGUGGUGGAAUUUCCUGUGUAGCGGUGAAAUGCGUAGAUAUAGGAAGGAACAUCAGUGGCGAAGGCGACCACCUGGACUGAUACUGACACUGAGGUGCGAAAGCGUGGGGAGCAAACAGGAUUAGAGACCCGAGUAGUCCCUGUCUCUUAUAC
This 301-nucleotide ribosomal RNA is filed under the name uncultured bacterium. RNAcentral's name for it is "partial 16S ribosomal RNA". It matches the Rfam family "Bacterial small subunit ribosomal RNA", at positions 509 to 807 of the family's 1533-position model. The record is from RNAcentral.